AGGAGGAGCAGGAGCAGGAGGAGGGACGAAGGAGGCCGAGCCCUGAGGGAGAGCGCGUUGGGCAGAGGAGGAUCGCGAGCGCCCACUGCUGCCCGGCCGGUUCCGGUGCGGCCCCGAGUCACGCUCGCUGGAUGCCAGGAGCCACUCAGCGCUGGGCAGCUCAGCAGGACCCUACCUGGCAGAAGCGUCAGCCGCGGGUCCUGGAGUAGUUGGUCCCGCCUACCCCGUGUUGCGGCUCCUCGGGUUUCUAUCCAAGGAUGAAGAUCUCUGCUAGCCCAGAAGUGACGAUGCUUCUGCAGCAGAUGGGAGGGUGGAUGAUGACUUGCCACCACAGAGGCCCACAUCACAGCCAUCCUUAGAGACACUGAUCCUCACUGCUACACUCAAGCUCCGGGCUUCCUUCCUGCCGUGCUGUCCUCCCACCCCUCCUCAGAGAUGAAUGGAUCCCCAGCAAGCACGAGAGUGGAGCCAACUGAUUUCAAAACACAGCAUUGAGGAAAAACCCUGUGAAGGCAUUCGGUCAACUCCGCAUGUGGACAGUAUGUCAGGACUUCCCACUUGAUGAUCUAGUCAAUAUCAUCUCUUUGCAAUGAUGAAAAAUAAUAAAUAAACCUGAAUAUUCAUUGGUUGAAUCUAA
Long non-coding RNA from Marmota flaviventris (yellow-bellied marmot), 637 nucleotides. RefSeq lists it as uncharacterized. NCBI's taxonomy places the organism in Eukaryota, Metazoa, Chordata, Mammalia, Rodentia, Sciuridae. The record is from RefSeq and is a predicted model, not a curated record.